CUGGCCCAGAUCGUUUACCGUGAAAAAAUUAGAGUGUUCAAAGCAGGCAGAUCCAAUUUUCUGCCACCGAAUACAUUAGCAUGGGAUAAUGGAAUAGGACCCUGUCCUCCUAUUUUCAGUUGGUUUUGGCAGCGCGAGGACUAGGGUAAUGAUUAAUAGGGAUAGUUGGGGGCAUUAAUAUUUAAUUGUCAGAGGUGAAAUUCUUGGAUUUAUGAAAGAUUAACUUCUGCGAAAGCAUCUGCCAAGGAUGUUUUCAUUAAUCAAGAACGAAAGUUAGGGGAUCGAAGACGAUCAGAUACCGUCGUAGUCUUAACCAUAAACGAUGCCGACCAGCGAUUAGGAGACGUUGAAUACAAAACACCACCAUCGGCGCGGUCGUCCUUGGCGUCGGUCCUUCGGGGCCGGCGCGAGGGCGGCUAGCC
RNAcentral lists this ribosomal RNA (422 nucleotides) under uncultured Acanthamoeba. Its description in RNAcentral is "SSU rRNA". It matches the Rfam family "Eukaryotic small subunit ribosomal RNA", at positions 738 to 1105 of the family's 1831-position model. The record is from RNAcentral. Lineage: Eukaryota; Discosea; Longamoebia; Acanthamoebidae.